This 683-nucleotide ribosomal RNA is filed under the name uncultured ciliate. Its description in RNAcentral is "SSU rRNA". It matches the Rfam family "Eukaryotic small subunit ribosomal RNA", at positions 322 to 1030 of the family's 1831-position model. The record is from RNAcentral. Lineage: Eukaryota; Ciliophora.
UCUGGAUGGUAGUGUAUUGGACUACCAUGGCAGUCACGGGUAACGGGGAAUUAGGGUUCUAUUCCGGAGAGGGAGCCUGAGAAACGGCUACCACAUCUAAGGAAGGCAGCAGGCGCGUAAAUUACCCCAAUCCUGAUUCAGGGAGGUAGUGACAAGAAAUAACAACUCGGGGGCUCACGCCUUACGAGAUUGAAAUGAGAACAAUCUAAACCCCUUAUCGAGGAACAAUUGGAGGGCAAGUCUGGUGCCAGCAGCCGCGGUAAUUCCAGCUCCAAUAGCGUAUAUUAAAGUUGUUGCAGUUAAAAAGCUCGUAGUUGAAUUUCUGGCUUUCUGUCUCUUGGCUCUGGUCGAGAGAGAGAGAGUCAUCCGCCAGAGAACUAUAGUCGUCCUUUAGUGGUCGAUAUAAGGAUCUGGCACUUUACUUUGAAAAAAUUAGAGUGUUCAAGGCAGGCCAUUGCCAUGAAUACACAAGCAUGGAAUAAUGGAAUAGGACUCUGGUUCAUUUUGUUGGUUAUUGAACCUUAGUAAUGAUUAAUAGGGACAGUUGGGGGCAUUAGUAUUUAAUUGUCAGAGGUGAAAUUCUUGGAUUUAUUAAAGACUAACUUAUGCGAAAGCAUUUGCCDAAGGAUGUUUUCAUUAAUCAAGAACGAAAGUUAGGGGAUCAAAGACGAUCAGAUACCGUC